Gasterosteus aculeatus aculeatus (three-spined stickleback) is the source of this 1206-nucleotide long non-coding RNA. Lineage: Eukaryota; Metazoa; Chordata; Actinopteri; Perciformes; Gasterosteidae. The record is from Ensembl.
AUGGAGGAUCAAGACGGUUCAACGCAACACCUUUGCUGACUUGCGGGGUCGUUCCAAGACCAUUCUUCAGGAUGGUCCAAAAACCAGGCGAGAAUCUCUGUCAACCUGCCAACAGCUAUUUGGUGAGGAGUGCAGGGAGGCGAUAUCUACAAUAAGACAUUCCAGCGAUGAAUCUGUGGUCAAAGAGAAGAUGAGAGCGACCUUCCAGUAUCGACAGAAGAUGGUUGGGGAUGAUGCAUCAUCUUCAGUCCUGGAUGUGUUCCCUCGUUUUCUUGAUGUACCUGGAUUGAUCGACCAGGAUUUCUCAAUGAUGUUUGGUGACGAAGUGUCUCAGAAGUUCCUGUCCAAGUGGUCAACUUUCUUCAAGCCAAACAUCACAGACUGCAAGACUGCAAAGAAUAUGGAUGAGUUGCUGUCAGCAACUGAAUCUGAGUCUGAAGAGAACAAUGGAUGGGACAGUGAUAUGUCUUCAAUCCUUUUACUGCUGCAUCUACUCCCUCCAACUUCAAGGGGCCAGAAAAAAACUGCCAAGAUCAGUUCAGCUCAAGCAACCAGCCAUCUUGUUAGAUAUCUUAAGGAAGGAGCCAGUAUUACUACCUUCCUUGAGAGUGUCGACGCAAACAACCGUUCCUCCUUUGCAUCGGUGAGCAAAAGAAGAAUAUCCAAAGGUUCUACCUUAUUAUCGACCGAAAAGCAAUCCCGUGCAAGGCACACACAUCAGGGGCAGCUUUAGACAUUACAUUUGGACGCCUGUUCAAAUGUUACAAGUACAAGGUGGGUCAGAUAUUACGGUACUGAGUACCAGGUUGGGUUGUACUUAUGCACUGGAUGUACCGAUGAUCUUCCUGUGUUCAAAAAGAUCUGUGAUAUUAUAAUACAUGAACAGCACGCUUUCAUAAUAUCCUGUAAUGUACAAACAAUGUACUAUGAUGACCACUUUAGUGCAUACUGUAUAGAAGACCAAAUGAAUGUGUUUUCUGUCAUAUCUGUGAAGGCACUGACUUAUUUUAGACCAUUUGACAAGCAAUGCUCUAAUGACAAUAGUCAAAGAGCAUACAUAGUGCCUUAUUGUUACAUUUAGAUAAAUGUACAGCAAUGAAAAAAGAUUUGGUAAUGUUGAUGCAUUUGAAGAAAUAAAAAUGUUAAAGUAGUGAACUUGUCAUUUGUAUUUCUAAUUAUUGACAUUUCAUUUAAAGAUUUUUUUUG